Long non-coding RNA from Myotis davidii, 329 nucleotides. RefSeq lists it as uncharacterized. The transcript is spliced from 2 exons. NCBI's taxonomy places the organism in Eukaryota, Metazoa, Chordata, Mammalia, Chiroptera, Vespertilionidae. The record is from RefSeq and is a predicted model, not a curated record.
CUCCUGGUCGAGGGGACAAUUUGCAUACUAUGCUUUUAUUAUAUAAGAUAAGUGCUAAAUGACAGGGAAGAGAAGGACAUCACUGACUAAAACAAUAAUACCGUUUCACUAGGUAGACAAAGUGGCUGCCUGUGCCUUCUCUUUCCCAUAAAUGAACAGGGCUGGGAUUUGCCUUCUGAAGCAUGCCACUUCAAGGAAAACAUCGACACUGGACUGAUUAUUUUAUUUUGUUUUUGGUCACUAUAUAAAGAAAAUAAACACAAAACACAUUGUAACCAUGUAUUUACUCUGCCAAGUGCCAAUAUUCCAAUAAAAUGUUCAUUCUUGGA